ACAGGGAGCCACCAUACCUUCCCAACCCCAUAAAAGUACCUGUUCAGCUACUGUUGGAGAACCAGUUGGCAGAACCUCUUCAUGCCAUGCUUUCCACCUUGUGCUCCAACACAAGACCCCCAACGAAUCUUGUGUGGGUUGCACAUUGGCCUCUUGUGCGUUGAUACUUGCAGGUGAGCCAAAGAACCUGGGGUCAGUAACAUGUUUCUGGUUGGAACCUGGCAAAGGGAGUAUUUCCCCUUGGGGAAGGUGAGGGUUGGUGGGUGUACAGACAGAUGGAACCCUCUCUCAGUGGGGCACUGGCUGCCUGUGCCUUUGCUUCAGGGUCUCUGCUGUUGGAGAGUUCUCUGACCUCCCAGAAUCCCAGCUUACCUCACCCACUGUUUUUCUUUCCUCUCACCUGUUUUUCUUUCCUCUCUUUUUCCUCUUUAAGUCCUCGGGCUUGGUUUUUGGUUUUAGUUUUGGAUUUUGAUUUGAGGCACCUUAGCAGACAUCAUGUGGGGUGGGUUGGAACUGUUGGCUUCUGGCACUGAUCACGCAGCAGGGGACAGGUGGGUUGCCCCUGUGCACUCUGGUUACUGGGUAGAAUCAACACAGCUGACUGCUGGAGCUGCAGCUUUGGUUUUGGUUUUGGUUUAGUCCUGUCUGAAAACUCCCAGUCGAUGUCCUUUUACUCUGAUCUUGCCUCCCAGGACAUCAUCUUGCUCCUGCCCUCCAGCCAUGGCUCCCACUACCUGCAAGGUGGCUGGAACUUCUAAGCCAUUCAGAUUCAGGUGCCCCAUGGAUAUCACCCAGCAGGGAUCAUGGAGAACUGGUGGGGAUCAUCCCCUACCACACAGAGUCCAUAGAGGCAGAUUUGAGAUUUUUCCUCCUGAUCCUUCUGCCUCUCUGAUCUUGACUAUUACUUUGUUUCUCGCUGCUUAUAUCUGCAGGUGGGUCAGGACCAGGGUGCUUGUAUUCAUGGAUAGCUGUCCACUGGUGGAGACAAUACCCAGUCCCAGGACCUUUAAUAAUAGACCACAGACUCCAUUGAAGGGCCCAUAUGGGAAACACUUCAAGUAUCCCAGGCACUGUCCCUGGGUUGCAUCUUAAACACUUGGGAACAGUUUAGGUUGGAUGGCUAAAAAGGAAAAAGUUACUUUUUAUUCAACAUGGUAUGACCUCAGUACAAGGAGAGGAUCAAGAGACAUGGCCCAUGAACAGGUCACUAAUUUAUAACACCAUUCUUUAACUGGGUUUUUGUGUUUUGAGGGAAAAUGUGGAGAAAUUCCUUGUGGUCAAGAUUUUUUUGAAGCUCUGUCAGGACCCCAAGCUUCAUGAUUCCUGUUGAGGCUGCAUGGCUGCUGUUCCUAGGCACCCCGUCCUGCAGUCCGUGACCGUUAGUUACUGACCUCAUCUUUAGAACCCCAACUCCUUGACCCCCAUUGGCUUCUACCACUUUGUCCUCAUCCUGUUGGCAUCCCAGACGCUAACCCUGGUGUCACCUCCUCCAUGCCUUCCACCCCUUCACAACCACCAUCAGGAACAACCCACCUGUGUCCCCUUCCUGAUGGGCCUCCACUGGGCUGCAGAAACAGCUGUCUUCUCUCCCACCCCACCUUCUACGACCCAGACUGCUUUCUUUUAAGAGGAGUAGCAGGUGGGGAAGGUGGAGUCCCAAAGUCCAUGCUUCUUUCUCAGUAACUGAGCUGGGACUACCUCAAGAACAGUUUAGCUGUCUUUCUGAGAUAGUGGAGGUUUAGGGGUGAAUUUACCAAGCUAAGUUUGACCCUCUUACUAGGCAAGAUAUUGUUGUUUGUUGUGCCCCCAGUGCAUUUCCUCAAGAAGGCCAGAGAACGAGCAACCAGUUUUGUCACCACUCAGUAUCCCAGGUAGGGACAGAGUGGUUCCAGAUCAGGAACACAGUGGGAUUGUAGAUCAGACUGAGAGACAGGAUGGCACAGCUUAUUGCCUUAUAACAGAGGGGAUGAAAAGGUGUGUGAUGCAGCCUGUUAAUUAUGACACAGUUAACAGGGACCAUUCAGGAAAAGGAAGAGAACCAGCCAGCUUUUUGGGCUGGCUCACCGAGGCCUUUAGGAAAUACAUGAGCACAGAUCCCGACUCUGCUGAGUGUGAGCCUUACUUGCUGGGUGUUUUAUUAUUCAGGCAGCCCCGACAUUAGAAGAAACAAACACUGAGGCAGGACCUCAGACCCGAUUGUUGAUCAUGGCGGAGGAGGACUUCAGGGUCUUCCAGCAGUUGAGACAGGACAGAGGAGAUGAGCAGAGGUAAUAGAUUGGCUAAAGUGGUGCAGCUUUCUGCUGCCCUGAUUAAUUAGCCACUCCAGGAGGAACCCCCAAAAGCCCAGAAGACCAGACAACCAGAGAGGGUACACCAGCCACAGAUGCAGCCAGAGUGCCUAUUGCAGGCUAGAGGGCCACUGGGGGACCCUGGCAAGAGACCCCUCCUGGCCAGCCUCUUGGAUGGGAGGCAGGCAGUCACCUCCUGAUGAGACCCAGGCACCUGCUCGGUUCCGACUUCAGCACGAUCCUUCACCAUCACUCCAGCAGAACCCCAGGCACUCUAGAAGUGGCAGGUAGGGGAACUGAGUUCCUUGUGGACACCGGAGCCGCCUACUCUGUCCUGACUCAUCCUGUCGGCCCCCUCUCCAACUGCGACUGCAUGGUAACAGGUGCAGACAGUCAACCUAAGGUAAGAGUUUACUUCCCCCCUUGCCUAUGAGACCAGUCUAACCCACUCCCUUUUAUAUGUUCCUGAGCUAAACUUGGGGUUGCUGUCUCCCUAGAAAGGACCAGGUACAAAUGAUGGUGAGCCAUCACAGGCAGCUGCCUGUCAGUACUUCUCAACCCCAAGAACCCAGAACAUGCCAGUGUUCCUGAGAGUGUUAAAGAUCAAGUAGACCCAUCUGUAUGGGACACUUCCACCCCAGGGCUAGCCCAUAACAUUUCCCCAGUAGAAUAUCCGUGAAAGAGACAGUACCCAUCAGACAGUGGCCACGAAAGGAAUCUGCCCCUGCUCUGGAAGUCCCUGGAGCUUGGAUUGAUUAAGCCUGUCAGUUUACCCUGCAGCACCCUGGUUCUCCCAGUCAGGAAGCCAAAUGGGGAGUACUGCUUAGUAUAGGACCUGUGGGUAGUGAGUGAGGCGGUUUUUCCUGUCACUAUGUUAUCCCAAACACAUACACUCUACUUACUCAGAUACCUGGAGAGGAAAGGUUCAUUUAUAUACUGUCCUGAACCAAAAAGAUGCCUUUUUAAAUUAAUUCCUCUUAACUCAGAGUCCUAAUACCUUUUUGCCUUUGUGUAUAGAAACCUGGACACUCGGGAAACUAUACAGUCCACUUAUACCAUGCCUCCUCAGAGUUUCAGAGAUAGACCCACCAUUUGGGACCAUCUUACAGAACUGAGAGAACUCACCCUAAAAAUGGUCCUUAGUAUCAUAGGUAGAUGGUUUGUGAUCACCAGCCCCUCUCAGUGAGAUUCUGAUUAUAAUACUAUAAAAAAUAAAUAAGGUACAAAGUCUCCCCCUCAAAAGCCCAAGUUUGUCUACAUGUAGACCCAGGGUCUUGUGUCCUAACUGUGGAAUAGAAAAAAGCAGUUAUUUCCUGUUGGUGCCCAAAACUAGGACAGCUUCAGGGAUUCCUGGGAAUGUCAGGUUUCUGCUGCAUCUGGAUCCCAAGUUAUGGAUUAUUGGCAAAACCCCUAUGUGAAGCAUGAAAGCAUGAUGAGCAAGUACCUCUGGAACCCGGAAUGCUAGCAGGCCUUGGAGGCCCUACAGCCAGAGCUGGGCUACGCCGUGGCUCUAGGACUUCCAAACCUAGAAAAGCCAUUCAUUUUUAUGUCUGGUAGGUUAGGAGCUGCCUUAGGAGUUCUGAUUCAAAGGCUAAGACCUAUCCAGAGACUGGUGCAUUCUUUUCAGAACCACUGAGCUCUCUGGUUCAGGGAUAGCCCAGUUGCCUAAGAACAGAGCUGCCAUUCCCUUGUUGGUCAACAAGGCCUCUAAAUUGAUGCUGGGACAACCCAUAGAGGCACAAACCCUUCAACAGGUGCAGACAGUGUUAGAAGUCAAAGGGCACCAUUGGCUGACAGGAAGAAGACUUCUACCAGAUUGCCCUGACAGGUCUGUCAGACUCUUAAACCUGAACAUACGUCCACCUUGCAGCCCAGGUGAGGGGCCCGCAGCGUCAGUGUGUUGUCCAGCCCAGGUGAGGGGCCCGCAGCGUCAGUGUGUUGUCCAGCCCAGGUGAGGGGCCCGCAGCGUCAGUGUGUUGUCCAGCCCAGGUGAGGGGCCUGCAGCGUCACUGUAAGACAGACCUCCUCUAGCAGGCCUGACCUCUGGGACGAGCCCCUCGAGAACCUGCGUGCUGAAUGGCACACGGAUGGAAGGGCUGUUACAGAGGGAGCAGUGUGGGUGGCAGGCUAUGCUGUGGAGAGUUUAACUGAUGCCAUAGAGCAGGAGCACUAUCACCCCAAACCUCAGACCAAGAGGACAAACUGAUCGCUCAGAUUCAGGCCUUAUAAUUGGGAAAAAGUAAAACAUUCAAUAUUUAUACCUAUUCAAAGUACAGGUUUCUGGUAACUGCAUGCCCACACCACCCAUAUGGUAGGAAAGGGGAAUGUCAUGAGCUGAAAACUCUGGUAUUAAACAUGAAGACCUAAUCAUGCUUCUUUGAGAGGCAGCUCAGCUUCCUCAGCAGGUGGCAGUUGUUUACUGAGAGGAUGCAUCCAGCGUGGACCAGGGAAACAGUAGGAAGAGAAGGCCACCAAACGGGGGAGGGGGAUCAGCCUGCGGAGCCUGACAAGGUGCUGACCCCAAUAAUAGAUCCUUCCACGUUCCCCAGCCAUCCCCAGUAGCCCCAGCAAGAAUAUGAGGAGGCUGAGGUUGGGAUACGAGAUGAGGAUAUCAGUGGUUCCUCAAAAAUAGUGGAGUUCUCCCAGGAUCAGACCAACAGAAGCUCAUUAAACUCUUCCAUGAUGCUGCCCGCUGUGGGAGAGAGAACUGGUAGAAACUGAUCUAUGGGGUCUUUACAGGGAAAAACCAUAAAGUAGGUGACCCUGCCCUGUGAAGUCAUGUGUCCACAAUAAUCCCCCAGACCAUCCUGUCUUACCUUCAUUGAUAAAACCACUCCACCAUGGAGGGACACACCCAGAAGACUGACAGAUGGGUUUUACAAGAUGCUCCCUAGAUCUGGACUCCAGUACUUUUUGGUGUUCACCUGUACCUUUACAGAGUGGAGGGUGCCUUCCCACUGCACUGAAAAGGCCGUAGAACUUUGUAGACUCCUCUUUUGGGAGAUAAUCCCUCAUUUUAGACUCAAUCCCUCCAGAGUAAUAAUGGGCCGUCCUUCCUAGCAAAUGUUGCCCAGACCCUCUCAGGCCCCCAGGAAUGUGCCAUAAGUUACAUGCCUCCUGGCUCCCCGAGUGUACUGGAAAGGUUGAGCAAAUGAAUCACAUCCUUGAGAAAACCAUAGCCACGCUCUGCCAAGAAACACACAAACCAUGGACCAAAAGCUUCCCAAAGCAAUCCUCAGGGUCCACACUGCCCCCAGGGGUGUGAUGUGUGGAAGACCUUUCCUUACCACUGACCUCACUGACAGGGGCCUGAUCAACCCGGGACAGGUCGAGAGUCAUCCUGGAACAUGGAGCGCAGGUUUGCCAGCUCCUCAGGAGACAUCAUCCCAUGCCCAGUUUCAACCAGGGGACCAGGUUUUGCUUACAACUUAGAGUGGAAAGGACCAUUAUUGAGGGAUCUUGGCCACCCUUACUGCAGUAAAAUGCAAAGGAGUCCCCAGCUGGGCCUACCUCUCCCAGUAAAGCAGGUCUCUUCUAAGCCCCAUAGGCCGCUCCCAAGGAGCCCACCUACUACUGCGAGCCAGUGAUGGAGCUGAGACAUCUCCUCAAGGGAAGAACAGAUGAGCUCCAGCAGCUCUGUGUCAGGCUGACACUGGCUGGGGCUGUCACCCACCCCUCCAUCAGAAGAGCCAAGGUCUAAUUGAGGGCAAGGGAUUUUACACCUCCAAGGUUUAGAGUUCAGCUGUCCUUCCUCAGCAGACAGCACUACACACGAUGAGACCUUUGUCCCCCUCUCCUUAAGCUCUUCCUGACUUACUGUGUGUCCAUCCCCAGCUCCAAACCAGUCAGGAACAAGGACUAUCUAAACCCUGACUGCAGAAGAUCCCCUACUGCCAUGAUAGGAACUUCCCCAGUCUGCAUGCCUGCCCAGAACACCCCUGGGUGACCCGUAUGUGGCCUUCCUGGGGUGAUGGUAGUGAGUAGCACACUGUUUUUUGAGUGUGUCAUGUGUACAGAAACCCAUAGUCACCUACACAGAGCACUGAGCUAAGUGCAAACCAAACGAAAAUGGCAUGUGCCAAGGAGAAUGAACCAGAAGUGCAGUCUGGGUGCUGAUCCACACGCUGUGUGUGGGGAGUUCACACCUCCUCAACCCUGUAAAAGUACCUGUUCAGCUCCCGUGAGGGAGUCGGGUGGCGAAACCUCUUCUUGCUGUGCUGUCUCUAGUGUUUGAGGAUAAGCCCCCAGUAAGCCUUGUCUGGGUUGCACGGUGGCCUCUUGCCAAAUGCUGCUUGCAAGUGAGUCAGAGAACCUGGAGUUGGUAACACUUCCUCCUCGGCUGUGCCUCUGGUGCCCCAGUGUGAAGACUGCUUUCAUUGUCUCCCAAGAACCAGCCCCUGAUAGUACCCUAGGGUGGGAGCACUGAGAAGAACCAGGGGAUCCAGAGAUUGCCCUCUUUGUUUAGUUCCCUGUGAUGUUGCCAUAACCAAAGGAGCCUGGUCCUCAACCCUGGACUUUCUGGAGAUUUCUCUGUGUAGAUAGAGUUGAGCCUCCUGUGGCUAGCUCAGCAUCAUUUGUCUUGGGUUGGCCAUGGCAGUUAACCACCUGCCCAUCUGUUUUCUGUCUUGUAAGGUUUUGUUUUGGAAUGUUGUCUCUUCUAUGAUUCUCUCUUUGUCUUUAAAAAUAACUUUACUGAGAUAGUAUAUAACAAGAGUUUACCCUGUAAAGUAUUAAUAAGGGUCUUCAAAAUGUUCACAGGAAUGCAUAUUUUGCAAAAAGCUAUACAUGGAAUUCAAAAAUGUUUUGUAUCAAGACUCUAUCUCUUAAUUCCAUUUUCCAUGAACUUCUUGAUGUACCCUCAUAUACUUUAUUUUUUUAAAGAUUUGUUUAUUCGAAAGUCAGAGUUACACAGAGAGAAGAGAGGCAGAGAGAGAGAGAGAUCUUCCAUCAGAUGGUUCACUCCCCAAUUGGCUGCAACGGCCAGAACUGCGCCAAUCCAAAGCCAGGAGCUUCUUCCGGGUCUCCCACACGGGUGUAGGGGCCCAAGGACUUGGGCCGUCUUCUACUGUUUUCCCAGGCCAUAGCAGAGAGCUGGAUGGGAAAUGGAGCAGCCAGGUCUUGAACUGGUGCCCAUAUGGGGUGCCGGCGCUUCAGGGUGUUAACCCACUGAGCCACAGUGCCGGCCCCACCCUCAUGUACUUUAAAACGUACAUAGUUCAGUGGCUUUAGUAUAUUCAGAGACUUGUACAACCAUGAGCAUGGUCUAAUUCCAGAAUGUUUUCAGCAGCACAAAAAGAAACUCGGAUCCAUUUGCAGUAGCCCCUGGCAACCACUGAUCUACUUUCUGUGGGUUUUCCUAUUCUGACCAUUGUAUAUAAAAGGAAACAUGUAAUAUAUGUAACUGACUUCUUUCAUUCAGUACAGUGCUUUCAAAAUUCAUCUCUGUCAUAGUAUAGAUGAGUACUUUGUUCUUCUUUAUGACUGAGUAAUAUUCUAUUGCAUGGAUACAGCACAUUUUCUCUGUCUUUUCAUCAGUGAGUGGACAUCUGGGUCUUGUAGCUUGUGCAUUAAGCAACUCCAUUUCCAGGAAUGAAGUUUCAGGAAAGAGGACCCCUGGGUAUAUGUGUGUGUGUGUGUGUGUGUGUGUGUGUGUGUGAGAGAGAGAGAGAGAGAGAG
Oryctolagus cuniculus (rabbit) is the source of this 7964-nucleotide non-coding RNA. NCBI's taxonomy places the organism in Eukaryota, Metazoa, Chordata, Mammalia, Lagomorpha, Leporidae. The record is from RefSeq and is a predicted model, not a curated record.